RNAcentral lists this ribosomal RNA (987 nucleotides) under Octolasion tyrtaeum. RNAcentral describes it as "partial small subunit ribosomal RNA". The stretch from base 1 to 337 matches the Rfam family "Microsporidia small subunit ribosomal RNA", at positions 823 to 1311 of the family's 1311-position model. Lineage: Eukaryota; Metazoa; Annelida; Clitellata; Crassiclitellata; Lumbricidae. The record is from RNAcentral.
CUCGAUAAUCCACGAACACCUUACCUCCCCUAGAUCUAACAGCUUGUGUACUGCCGUCGUAAGCACACCUCUAAAAGAACAAGUAUGCAAUCAUGACUAGUCUCAUAUACGUCAGGUCAAAGUGCAGCCAAUGGGGAAGGUGAUGAUGGGUUACAACCUAAAUAAAGACACGGAAUAAAGUUCUAAUAGCUUUAUAAAAGUGGACUUGGGUGUAAUAAUGACUAAAUACCAAAAUGAAAUCGAAUCUAAGACAUGCACACAUCGCCCGUCACUCUUGCCUAAAGGCAAGAUAAGUCGUAACAAAGUAGGUGUAACGGAAGUUGCACCUGUCGAAGUAUAGCAUAUAAAAUGCUUUUUACUUACACUAAAAAAAAGACAUUUGUCUACUCCGCUUAUCCCUAAUUAUUCUUAUAAAAAAUGAUUAAUAAAAACACUUCAAUCUCAAUUUUUCCAAUUAAAAAAACUAAAAGUACUAAAAAGGAAACGCCAAUCUUAUAGUAGUGAAUAGCUCACCUACCUUGUGCAUUAUGGUUUUACAAGCACAAAAUUAAAAAUUCUCUCCCGAAUUCUAUGCGAGCUGCUCCCUUAUAGCUAAGAGCCCACUACUAGUUGUAGCACUAACUUUAGAAAAUAGGGUAGCAGGGGCUACAUACCAAACGCGCUAGAAAAUUGCUGGUUAUUAGUAAAAUUUAUACAUUAAAACAUAUAAUUCUAUUAUAUUGUAAGAUUUUAGAGGAUAAGCCCUAAGAUCUUAAGCCAAAUAAUAACCACAAAGAAACUUAUAGGCCUAAAAACAGCCAUUAUAAAUACCUUACCGUAAACACCCACAUAAUAUAUAAGCAACCUGCCCCAAAAAACUAAUAUUUAAGAAAAACAGCAAUCUUAAUAUAAUAUGUAAAAAUAAGUAUUUUUCACCAACUAAUCCAACUCUAAUUAAAUACAAUAGCUUAUAAAGGAACUCGGCAAAUUCUUAUUUCGACUGUUUAA